This 465-nucleotide ribosomal RNA is filed under the name uncultured bacterium. RNAcentral's name for it is "bacterial SSU rRNA". It matches the Rfam family "Bacterial small subunit ribosomal RNA", at positions 28 to 507 of the family's 1533-position model. The record is from RNAcentral.
GACGAACGCUGGCGGCGCGCUUAAUACAUGCAAGUCGAACGAGAAGCCUGGUGCUUGCACCGGGUGGACAGUGGCGAACGGGUGAGUAACACGUGAGUAACCUGCCCCGGAGACCGGGAUAACCCGAGGAAACUCGGACUAAUACCGGAUGUCUUCACCGGACCGCAUGAUCUGGUGAAGAAAUGGUCCGCCGCUCCGGGAUGGACUCGCGGCCUAUCAGCUUGUUGGUGAGGUAACGGCUCACCAAGGCGACGACGGGUAGCUGGUCUGAGAGGACGAUCAGCCACACUGGGACUGAGACACGGCCCAGACUCCUACGGGAGGCAGCAGUAGGGAAUCUUGCGCAAUGGGGGAAACCCUGACGCAGCGACGCCGCGUGCGGGAUGAAGGCCUUAGGGUUGUAAACCGCUUUCAGCAGGGACGAAACUGACGGUACCUGCAGAAGAAGGCCCGGCCAACUACGUG